AACGAACGCUGGCGGCAUGCCUAACACAUGCAAGUCGAACGAGACCUUCGGGUCUAGUGGCGCACGGGUGCGUAACGCGUGGGAACCUGCCCUUAUGUUCGGCAUAACUCCCCGAAAGGGGUGCUAAUACCGGAUAAUGUCUUCGGACCAAAGAUUUAUCGCCUUUGGAUGGGCCCGCGUUGGAUUAGCUAGUUGGUAGGGUAAAAGCCUACCAAGGCGACGAUCCAUAGCUGGUCUGAGAGGAUGAUCAGCCACACUGGGACUGAGACACGGCCCAGACUCCUACGGGAGGCAGCAGUGGGGAAUAUUGGACAAUGGGCGAAAGCCUGAUCCAGCAAUGCCGCGUGAGUGAUGAAGGCCUUAGGGUUGUAAAGCUCUUUUACCCGGGAUGAUAAUGACAGUACCGGGAGAAUAAGCUCCGGCUAACUCCGUG
RNAcentral lists this ribosomal RNA (433 nucleotides) under uncultured bacterium. RNAcentral's name for it is "partial 16S ribosomal RNA". It matches the Rfam family "Bacterial small subunit ribosomal RNA", at positions 29 to 507 of the family's 1533-position model. The record is from RNAcentral.